Molecule: unclassified non-coding RNA, 253 nt
Filed under: Candidatus Kaiserbacteria bacterium
Lineage: Bacteria; Candidatus Kaiseribacteriota
Description: contains 16S-23S intergenic spacer region
Rfam family: Bacterial small subunit ribosomal RNA
Source: RNAcentral
UACAGAAGCCCCAAGCGUUACCCGGAUUUACUGGGCGUAAAGGGUGCGUAGGCGGUUAUAUUAGUCAGUCGUUAAAACUUCAGGCUCAACCUGAAGAUCGCGAUUGAAACGGUAUAACUAGAAGAUGUGAGAGGUACACAGAACUCUCGGUGUAGAGGUGAAAUUCGUUGAUAUCGAGGGGAAUACCAAAUGCGAAGGCAGUGUACUGGCACAUUCUUGACGCUGAGGCACGAAAGCGUGGGUAGCGAACGGG